GAAGGUAGAGCUCAGUAGUAGAGUGUGUGCCUAGCAUGCAUGAGGUCCUGGGUUCAAUCCCCAGUACCUACA
This 72-nucleotide transfer RNA is filed under the name Camelus bactrianus (Bactrian camel). It matches the Rfam family "tRNA". From Rfam's summary of the family: Transfer RNA (tRNA) molecules are approximately 80 nucleotides in length. Their secondary structure includes four short double-helical elements and three loops (D, anti-codon, and T loops). Lineage: Eukaryota; Metazoa; Chordata; Mammalia; Artiodactyla; Camelidae. The record is from Rfam by way of RNAcentral. RNAcentral also lists the same sequence under 3 other names.